This 76-nucleotide transfer RNA is filed under the name Gammaproteobacteria bacterium. Its description in RNAcentral is "tRNA-Thr". It matches the Rfam family "tRNA". From Rfam's summary of the family: Transfer RNA (tRNA) molecules are approximately 80 nucleotides in length. The record is from RNAcentral. Lineage: Bacteria; Pseudomonadati; Pseudomonadota; Gammaproteobacteria.
GCCGGAGUAGCUCAGCUGGCAGAGCAACGCAUUCGUAAUGCGUAGGUCGGUGGUUCGAAUCCACUCUCCGGCACCA